Molecule: ribosomal RNA, 254 nt
Filed under: uncultured bacterium
Lineage: Bacteria
Description: partial 16S ribosomal RNA
Rfam family: Bacterial small subunit ribosomal RNA
Source: RNAcentral
CACGUAGGGGCCGAGCGUUGUUCGGAAUUACUGGGCGUAAAGGGCGCGCAGGCGGCUGCUCAAGUCAGGCGUGAAAGGCCUGGGCUCAACCCGGGAAUUGCGCUUGAGACUGGGCUGGCUUGAGUGCGGGAGAGGAUGGUGGAAUUCCCAGUGUAGAGGUGAAAUUCGUAGAUAUUGGGAAGAACACCGGUGGCGAAGGCGGCCAUCUGGACCGCAACUGACGCUGAGGCGCGAAAGCGUGGGGAGCAAACAGG